UACUGAAUUUUCUUGUAGAUUAUUUUGUUCUAUAUGAUAGAUCAAAGAUCAAAGCUUUUCUCAAACCCUUGUUGCUGGUUCCACGAUCAUCAUGCAUCAAGAGAAGAUCCCAACAUCUGGUAUCAGAGCUUUGGGGAUAGAUUUGGUGGAGGAAAGAUCUAUAGGGACCGGCACCUGUUUCAGCUUGAGGUGGAGCUAGGUACCUUGUUACCUUCAUAGAUGACUUCUUUAGGAGAGUAUGGGUGUAUCUGAUCAGAGAAAAGUCAGAGAUAUUUGCCUGAUUUAAAGCCUGAAGAGCUGAGGUCG
Molecule: long non-coding RNA, 306 nt
Filed under: Elaeis guineensis (African oil palm)
Lineage: Eukaryota; Viridiplantae; Streptophyta; Magnoliopsida; Arecales; Arecaceae
Description: long non-coding RNA (EGUI_LNC008906)
Source: RNAcentral